CAUGCAUGUCUCAGUGCAGCCGUACGCGCUCGCGCGUCUAGGUGAAACCGCGAAAGGCUCAUUAAAUCAGUUAUGGUUCCUUGGAUCGUACCACUCAGUUACUUGGAUAACUGUGGUAAUUCUAGAGCUAAUACAUGCCGACAGAGUUCCGACCGCCUCGUGCGGGAGGAACGCUUUUAUUAGAUCAAAACCCAUCGGCGUGACUUCGGUCACGCCGACAACACUCGGUCCCCUUCGCGGGGGCCGACCAAGUGGUGACUCUGAAUAACUUUGUGCUGAUCGCACGGUCUCAGUACUGGCGAUGCAUCUUUCAAAUGUCUGCCUUAUCAACUGUCGAUGGUAGGUUAUGCGCCUACCAUGGUGGUAACGGGUGACGGGGGAUUAGGGUUCGAUCCCGGAGAGGGAGCCUGAGAAACGGCUACCACAUCCAAGGAAGGCAGCAGGCACGCAAAUUACCCACUCCCAGCUCAGGGGAGGUAGUGACGAAAUAUAACGAUACGGGACUCAUCCGAGGCCUCGUAAUCGGAAUGAGUACACUGUAAAACGUUUAACGAGGAUCCAUUGGAGGGCA
Molecule: ribosomal RNA, 571 nt
Filed under: Acizzia acaciaebaileyanae
Lineage: Eukaryota; Metazoa; Arthropoda; Insecta; Hemiptera; Psyllidae
Description: SSU rRNA
Rfam family: Eukaryotic small subunit ribosomal RNA
Source: RNAcentral